Long non-coding RNA from Acanthopagrus latus (yellowfin seabream), 1750 nucleotides. RefSeq lists it as uncharacterized. The record is from RefSeq and is a predicted model, not a curated record. The transcript has 3 exons. NCBI's taxonomy places the organism in Eukaryota, Metazoa, Chordata, Actinopteri, Spariformes, Sparidae.
GACGACGCCAACACAAACCCCGACAAGCCAAAGAAACCCCGAGGAGCUUUUCGGGAUCACUCUCGGAGCACCGCAGCGGAAAACUGCGAAGGAGACCGAUUACCCAGCGGACUUUAAGCAAGUUACUGCCCCUCAUAUUUGGAAGUGAGAACUGAGGCAUGUCCACGGAGGAAGAAACAGGCAGACAACUAUCGCCGCAGAUCAGGGGAACAAAGCCGCCACGCCAAACCUCAGGUAUGUGCGGGUAAUUAGUUUGCUAAUUAGCUGUUUUGAUGUCAGCCCGUCAUCCACUUCUGAUAUGAGUGAUGCGCGGUCUGUUUGUUCACAGCAUAGCGGAGGAUUUGACACCUGCCACAUAUGGGAAACCUGCAGCCUGGAGGGAUUUCAGUGCAGCAGUCUCGCUAAAUGCAACAAAAAAUACGCUUAAUGUGGCGGGCUCUCUGUGGCUGCACAGCUUCCAGAGGUCUUUCUGGAGCAGACGACAUGAAGCAUGGCAGUCAAAGGGCCAUAAACUGAACAAAUGACUCGUUCCCCCUCGCAGCACAGGGCCAUCUACUGCUGAUAAGGCCGAAUACUACAAAUUACCGACAAAGCUCCUCCUGAGGCAUGUGGUGGCUGCGCGCUAGCCUGCAUGGCUAACAAGUAGUCUGUGCACAACCGCGGCGACUUUAUCUCAAGUUAAAACAAAUGUCACCGCUGACAAAGAGAAGUGAAAAAGUGUUUAUAGUAGUAAAGGAUAUGAAAGGAGGAGGAGAUUUGCCGGAUUUUCUCCUCCGUUAGCAUUCUCACGGAAUUUUAAGUGACACUUUGAUGUGGAAGUGGGAGGAAGCAAUUGUCUGUAAUAUUAAUAAGCCCAUUUUUUUUUUUUCUGUUACCUCUGACUCAGACGGUGUUUCUGUUUCCAACUAAUCCACGCGAACACUUGGGAGACACAGCACUCAGACCUGCUUAAUUAUUCUCUCUGUUCUGCUGUCAGACAACUGUUUGACCAUUAAAAAUAAACAAUGCCGGAUCACAGAGCAUGAACGGAGCGCGAAUUACGGUGCAUAUCUUCAGCGCUGGAGAGACAAAAUAAAUCCUGCGGAAGGCACGUUAGCAACAAACUGCACUUUGAUCUGUCCAAAUAACAACUGGAAGCUGAUUAUAACGCGUGCCAGUUAAUUAUUUACACUGUUAGAUUGCACUGAAAGGGGCCAGGUUGAUUUCUGUUGUAAAAAAAAUUAAUCCGGACAGUGAUUCUCAUCAUUUAUACAUCAAUUCCUACAUUUCCCAUGAUGCAUCAUGGGAAAUGUAGGAAUUGAUGCACAAACUUCAUAGCAUUUUAUAUUAGAUCAUCACAGCCUGCUAAAUGCCCCCGUCUCCUAGUUUGAGCGCAGGCUUGCUAUUUAAAUAUUUGUACCUCCAAGCGCAAGCUGAGUUUACCUUGAUUACAUCACUAUGACAUCAUCAGGGUUACUUUCUCAGACUUAAGAAAUCCGCCUCCAUAGCCACAAUAGACGUAAAACUGUCCCAGCCAACAUUUUAAAAUGCAAGAAGGACAAAAGGUUUAAAAAACUAAGCUUCAGUUUGUCUGAAUACAUCUUGCUAACCUGAGGCUUCAUAGUCUUGCUUGCAUCAGAUCACCCUCGUUGACAUUUGCGCAAAAAUCAGACGUUUUCAACUUUGGGCUCCACGUUUUCCCACCUGGUUGUGCAUGUCUGCUCCCGCAGUGGCGUUAAAACUUACUACGGGAGCUCGCCCCACAGUUAAA